RNAcentral lists this small nuclear RNA (142 nucleotides) under Rhipicephalus microplus (southern cattle tick). RNAcentral describes it as "U4 spliceosomal RNA". It matches the Rfam family "U4 spliceosomal RNA". From Rfam's summary of the family: U4 small nuclear RNA (U4 snRNA) is a component of the major U2-dependent spliceosome. The structure of U4 snRNA from yeast and human has been reported. The record is from Rfam by way of RNAcentral. Lineage: Eukaryota; Metazoa; Arthropoda; Arachnida; Ixodida; Ixodidae.
AGCUUUGCGCAGAGGCAGUGUCGCAUCCAAUGAAGUGCCAACUGAGGAGCGACUAUUGCUAGUUGAAAACUUUUCCCAAUGCCCCGCCUGGACGACGUGAAAUACCGUCGGCCAAGGCAAUUUUUGGGAGGCCUUCACGGGC